This 2061-nucleotide long non-coding RNA is filed under the name Anas platyrhynchos platyrhynchos (common mallard). Its description in RNAcentral is "lncRNA (ENSAPLG00000026510.1)". The record is from RNAcentral. Lineage: Eukaryota; Metazoa; Chordata; Aves; Anseriformes; Anatidae.
AUGCAUAAACGUAAGAAAUACAAGCUAUCUAGAAAGAAUUUUAAUAAGAGUACAUGCUUUCUUUACAGAAAGAAAAAGUCUUAUAGAGGAAGGAGAAAAAUGAAGAACAUAGCAGAUCUGAGAAGGACAGAGAACACAGACACAUCCUCCCACAUCCUGGUCACAGCUUUUGGCUUUUACAAAAUAACAAGGAAUGGAGCUAAGUGUCACCUGAGGGACGCUUGAGAAGGCUGUUUGGAAUGAGGACAGGCCAGGAGAGUGAUGACCAGAAUUUUCAUAUCAGCGGUGAUCCGCAGACAAAGCACCAACCUGCAGGUGAGUAUAUCUCACACCUAUAGUGCUAGGUGCUAUAAGAGCUAUUGACGAUUGGUUGUGCAGCCAUUCUACAUCUCAUGGGAAAAUAAUUCUGCUGAUCUGGCCCAUGUCAGUGGUCAAAAGCAAUACUCUUUUAUUUCUUGUAUAAUGACUUAGAGAUGAUCCAAAUAUUUUUACAUUUCUAUUCUGCCAUCAGUUAGAAAAGUAAAGCUUCUUUGCUUGAUCUAAACGCUCUCUCAUCACUUCAGUCUUCUGGGGCAUAUUUAUAUCAUUGAGUUGAAAUGCCUAUUUUUUUUUUUCAACUUCAGUUUCUGACAUCUUUUGGCUAUUCACUUGCUUCUAUGAGUCCACUGAAGCUCAGGCUUUUUUUUUUUUUUUUUUUUCUUUUCUUUCUUUUCUUUUUUUUUUUUCUUUUUUCCCCUCAAACAUAAUUGUUUCAUGGUGAUAUCUGACAAGGGCUUGGUAAAAAGACUGAUACUGGAAGUCUUAUGUCAGAUAAAGCAUGAUGUUUUAUCAUCUAAAAUUUCUGAUUCUGUGGAAACUGCAGAAGUCUGAAUCACCAUUAUUUUUACUUUUACUUCUUGGCACAUAUUUACCACUUACUUUCCCAUGCAGUUUGCCAGCAACUUUUUCUUAUAACUGUUAGCAACAUGGAGAUUGCAAGAGCCUACAGUUGCCUUUGCCUUCCUUUCAGAAAUCCAUGAAAUACAUUUCACAUUCUUGCAGGGAAAAUCUUUCUAAACAGAAAUUGAAGGAAGUAAAAGAGAGGGAAGUGCAGCUUUUUCCUGUUCUCUGCUUGGACAUAUAGCCCUGCUUUAUUGGUUCUCCUCCAGAACAUGUUCCCUGAGGAGACCUCCCCUCCUCUGUUGAAGUGAGAGCCAUCUCCUCCAUUCAGGAGGAAUAAGCCAAGGGUGGUCACAACACAGGCUGGGCAAUAACUUCACUUACAGUGAAAUGGCACAGAGCACCUGGGCUAGGAAUGCAGAGCAGGGUGGUGACAAGGACAGGUCCUGUUGAUAGGAUGACCAGGCAAAGCAAGGUGACAGCCAAGUGGAAAGGCAGUCUGGGAAGGUCAAGCAACAGUUUCGGAGCAGGCUUGGCAAAAAACUACAUCUAUGUUGUACCUCAGGCAAGGAGUGGGUGCCCAGGCCUGAGCUUAUUAAGCUCCUGAGCCCCUGGGCAGGGCUGUGUGGAGGACCCUGGUGGAGUGGUUAAGGUCUGUUAGUGUACUUAACGCCCAGACAGAACUUCAUAGCUUACAAUUCAGUAUGUGUUUCUCCUGCUUUGUCCAGCCUUUCCAUUCUUUUUUUCUCUGCCACCAAAAAUGAACUUGUACAGUGUCUCUGCACUUCUUGUCCUCUGCUCUUCAGCUCUGCCUUUCUUCACUGGUCUAAGACUUUUAAUACAAAGUGACAGCAUGAACAGUAAAACCUUGUUAUAACGUCACUUGAGGUUUGGAUAGAAAACAACAUUUAUUUUAACAAAUCCAUGACCUCGCAGCAAUUUUGCUGUUGGUACUGUGCUGCAUACCAUGGCUACUUGGAACUUCACAACCCCAGCAGACGCCUCUACUUCCCAGCUAUGGCUGCUUCCUCAAGGAAGACUAGAAUCUUAUUUGCUAAGGGAAUGAGGUUUAUGAUCACAGCUGAACCCAUCUGAUAUUCUCCAAUAGAAGGCAGGAGUGCACAUGCACUCAAUCAAAAUCAUUUUAAUAAAUCAUAGCCAAAGGGAGGGGGGGAAGAGGGC